AAUAGAAAAGUAGUUGAAAUAAGGGAGCAAAAUCAUUACCGGCAAAUUAAUUUCUUGGACGGUGAGGCUUGGACGACAACGUCACAACAACCUUUUGACGACCACCGCGAGCCUUGGAUAGCGAAGCUUCAACGACAGAUCAGGCGAGGCGAGCUUCGGUAGAUCAAGCGAACUUCAACGACAGAUCAGAAGAGGCUUCGGCAAGCUGCGAGGGAGACGGCGUCACAACGAGUCGGCCACUGGUCGAAAACGAGACUUAUGGCUGCGGGCUGCUGGUGAGGUGAGUGUGUGGGAAAGUUGAAUGAAGGGAGGCAACGAGAGAGUAGAGACAUCGACACUAAUAGAAAGUAGAAGGGUAAAAGCUUGUUUAAUCCCUAUAUUAUGAGGUUAGUGUCUAUUUAGUCUAUGUAUUUUUAAAAAUACCUCAAAAUAUCCCUGCUACUAAAUAUUGACACUUAUGCCAUUAUUUUUUUUUAUUUUUAACUUGCUUUUACAAUAUUACAUU
This 505-nucleotide long non-coding RNA is filed under the name Citrus x clementina. RNAcentral describes it as "Citrus clementina (C. clementina) long non-coding RNA (CCLE_LNC006526)". The record is from RNAcentral. Lineage: Eukaryota; Viridiplantae; Streptophyta; Magnoliopsida; Sapindales; Rutaceae.